UUUCUAGGAGGACCUGACGAUGAAGGAUGCUGAGCUGAUUCUGGAUGAGUUUAAGGCAGGCAAGAAACCCAAGCCAGGUCCACGAAACUCGCGAUCGACGAGUGAGCCGGUGACGGGCCUCACGUCUCUUAACACGCCACCAACCGGACCCGGAUUCAAGGUCAGAUCCGACUUGUGAAGCCCUACGAUGGGCGACCACCGCCGGCUCUUGUCUCCGUAGUUGUGACGAUGGAGUCAUCUAGCUUCAUAACGAAAGGAAUCCGGAUUCUUCAUGUUGAGAGUGGAGCUUGAUAACUAGCGGUUAGAUAGCGGUUUUGUUAAGAAAUCCCGAGAAUAGACGUUCGCAGUGAAGCGACGAAUGUGUUUCUGUUAAUUAUUGUAGCGGUGCGCAUGUACCGGACGCAGUGCGGCUGACCCCUUAUCCGAAUCUUAAAGAUUAACUCACAUGCCCUUGUAAAGUUUGCGAAUCGUCACAUCUCUACGAAGGCAAUUUUUCGGUAGAUACCUGUUCGUUGUGCGUUCCCAUGCUGUAGAACUCAUGUUAAAACACUGAUGCGGUUCGAAACGUUCUAGACAUAGCUUCUGAAGCUUUCAGAAAGUCUGACAAGUCCGUUCUGGCGCUCUCCGUCGGUAUUGCUUUUGUGCUAUCUACUGGGAAGAUCUCGUAGAAUGAUCUUCGCGGAAAGUAUCAAGCAUCGCUUCACCGGGUUUGCGCGUAUACGCAACCAGACGGCUGCAGCACCAGUACAGUGCUCUCGACUUUCUUUAUGUUGAAAAAAAUACUUGUUGACGUCGAUGCGUUGAAUAAAACACGGUUGCUUUCAUUGCUUGUUACGACA
This is a long non-coding RNA of Priapulus caudatus, 839 nucleotides long. RefSeq lists it as uncharacterized. The transcript has 2 exons. NCBI's taxonomy places the organism in Eukaryota, Metazoa, Priapulida, Priapulimorpha, Priapulimorphida, Priapulidae. The record is from RefSeq and is a predicted model, not a curated record.